Molecule: long non-coding RNA, 1416 nt
Organism: Lates calcarifer (barramundi perch)
Lineage: Eukaryota; Metazoa; Chordata; Actinopteri; Centropomidae
Exons: 2
Source: RefSeq, a predicted model, not a curated record
CUCCCAGUAUACACUCAUAACAUUUCAGAGUGUAGGCUGGUGAAAUGCAAAAUUGAAGGGAGAAGCACAAUCCCAAAAAUCAGGAGGAGAUGCAUUCUGCAACUUCUAUCUCCAUAUGUUAUGGCUAUUAGUAGUCGUCCUGGACAGUGGACAUUGUUCACACUGCUCCUUCGCUCCCCACUUCAAUAGUGGCAACAUGUGACUCUUUCUGUAUUUGUCUGUACCACAGACUGUAUGUAGAUGGACAUCUGUGUGACGUCACUGGUGGGUUUCUGAAGAGUGGUUGUAAAGCUCAGUGCUGGUGUCUUAUAGCUAGACAUAAAGAAACAUACAUAAAGAAAUACUGUAGGUAUGUAGUGUAUAUCUACAUACAGUAUAAGACAGACUGUAGGAAGAAUGUAAGUACAAAAUAAGACUAUCACUCAGUUUUUACAUGUGGUUUAAUCACACAUUGAACAUAUUUAGCAACUAUGAGCCACAUAUGAUUCAUUAAUUUCCAUUCUUACAGAACUUUUUUUUUCCAGAGAUUGAUGUUGUCCACUCAAUUGUUUUGAGUGGCAUAAUUCGGGAUUCAGCCUGAACCAGGUAAACAAGUCCAGACAAGUGAAUAAAAUAACUCCUCCUUGACAGACUACACAUGACCCAGAGCAAAAUCAAUUUGAGCCAUUUUGAGCAUUUUUGUAUUCAGCAUUUUUAAGUAUCUUUUUGAGGGUUGUACUCUACACACUGCUGAGAACUGCUGUGACUUUCGUGCCUGAGAAGGGCAGUCUAAAUUUGACUAUCAAACUGGUUCCUGAUAUCAAAUUGCAAUCUCCAUGGCAGUUUUCCCAGAGGUUAUUCAGAUAAUGUAGUCCUGACUCAUCACAUGGUGUUCCAGCAAUCCACAAAAAUACUCAGUCUUAGGUGACAGAACAAUUAUGUGCAUGUUAUUUUUCAAGUAAAAGAUUAACAGACAAUGUACUCUGUGUAGUUUCUCCAGCUGUUGGCUGUUGUGGCAAGAGUUACGUCAACAAGGGCUUGAGCACCAACACUUAAAUUUCAUUUCUUAGUCUGUGCCCUUACAAGAUAAAGCUGGUUAGGCAGAGUACAGGAGGUAAAGGAGGGAGGUUCGUGUUUGUUAUUAUUUCAUUCUCAGAGAAUGAAAGCCACUCAUCACAAUCAUGUAAGUGAAACCUUCCCUGUUAUGUAAAUAUCCCAGUCUUUUAUGCAAACAUGACAUGUCUUGUAAAAGGAUUUAACACAGUAUGUCAAAGAGAGACAGACCCUACCUUUGCACUGUGCAGUGUAACAACCACACAAUCUUUUCACUAUAUUUUCAUCUCAGAAAAUAUGUGCAUCGUCAGUACAUCAAAGCUGUAGUUACAACAUCACAAAGCAAACAAUGACUUGCAAAUAAAACACUUUAUCUUGCUUUGA